GGGCGCUAGCCUGAUCCAGCCAUGCCGCGUGUGUGAAGAAGGCCUUUUGGUUGUAAAGGGCUUUAAGCGAGGAGGAGGCUACCUAUAUUAAUACUAUGAGGUAGUGGACGUUACUCGGAGAAUAAGCACCGGCUAACUCUGUGCCAGCAGCCGCGGUAAUACAGAGGGUGCGUGCGAUUAUCGGAAUUACUGGGCGUAAAGCGCGCGUAGGCGGUUUGUUAAGUCGGAUGUGAAAUGGCCGGGCUCAACCUGGGAAUUGCAUUCAAUACUGGCAAGCUAGAGUAUGGGAGAGGAAGGAAAAAUUCCAGGUGUAGCGGUGAAAUGCGUAAAGAUCUGGAGGAAUACCGAUGGCAAAGGGAGCCUUCUGGCCUAAUACUGACGCUGAGGUGCGAAAGCAUGGGGAGCAAACAGGAUUAGUUUCCCUGGUAGUCCAUGCCGUAAACGAUGUCAACUAGCCGUUGGGGGAUUUGAUCCUUUUGUGGCGCAGCUAACGCGAUAAGUUGACCGCCUGGGGAGAACGGGCGCAAGACUAAAAGUCAA
This 540-nucleotide ribosomal RNA is filed under the name uncultured Alkanindiges sp. RNAcentral's name for it is "bacterial SSU rRNA". It matches the Rfam family "Bacterial small subunit ribosomal RNA", at positions 373 to 904 of the family's 1533-position model. The record is from RNAcentral. Lineage: Bacteria; Pseudomonadati; Pseudomonadota; Gammaproteobacteria; Moraxellales; Moraxellaceae.